CAGUAGCCGCGGUAAUACGUAGGUGGCAAGCGUUGUCCGGAAUGAUUGGGCGUAAAGGGCGCGCAGGCGGCUGUGUAAGUCUGUCUAGAAAGUGCGGGGCUAAACCCCGUGAGAGGAUGGAAACUGGACAGCUGAGAGUGUCGGAGAGGAAAGCGGAAUUCCUAGUGUAGCGGUGAAAUGCGUAGAUAUUAGGAGGAACACCGGUGGCGAAAGCGGCUUUCUGGACGACAACUGACGCUGAGGCGCGAAAGCCAGGGGAGCAAACGGGAUUUGAUACCCCAGUAGUCCCUGUCUCUUAUAC
Molecule: ribosomal RNA, 301 nt
Filed under: uncultured bacterium
Lineage: Bacteria
Description: partial 16S ribosomal RNA
Rfam family: Bacterial small subunit ribosomal RNA
Source: RNAcentral